This is a long non-coding RNA of Antechinus flavipes (yellow-footed antechinus), 2792 nucleotides long. RefSeq lists it as uncharacterized. The transcript has 2 exons. Lineage: Eukaryota; Metazoa; Chordata; Mammalia; Dasyuromorphia; Dasyuridae. The record is from RefSeq and is a predicted model, not a curated record.
CAGUCUAGUGGUGCGGGCGUGUCCAGGACUGUGAAGGCUAGUCUUGGGGGAGUAGUUUGGGAAACCUCCAAUAGAGGAAAGCGGGAUUUGAGAGGGAAGGCAAUGUGUCUUGGGGAUGGGCGGAGAGGGUAACACCCUGUCUGGCCUCCUUCGGAAAUUCUGACCCGAUGAGUGUGUAUCUCCUUUGCUUAGGGAGCGGUAUGCUAUUUCCUCUCUUCUGCCGCCCUCCUCUUCCACCCUUUCCUGUAAAGCUCGGGAGGAAAGGGCGGCAGGGGUUCCUUAGGGGGAAGAGGCCUUCUGGUGUCGGAAAAGUGGAGUGAGGGGUGCGAUGAGUCAGAAAAAGUAGAGAAUCCAGAGAAGUCCCUGGGGUGAGUUCCGUGGACUGAGAGAAGUGGCAGGUCACUGAGACUGCAUCCCAUGCCGGGGAUGAUGCAACCCAAAUCGCUGAAUUAAAAGAGACCUUAAAGGUCACCUAGUCCACCAAAGUCUGGGAGUGGCUUCGUCGCUUCCGGGCUUUCUUCGCGUUCCUAGAUAUAUAAACUGGAAGGUUUUCUAAAAUCACCCCCUUUGGAGCUCUUAGUUCCCUCCUCGUUUUCACUGACUUGUCUCCAACGCUCUCUCUCCUCGUCACUUCUUUCCUGGCUUUGCUGGUUUCCGUUAAGCCUCAGCUGAUAUCCCACUUUCUUCUAGAAGUCUUUCUCACAUCCUUAAUUCCGGUGGCUUCCCUCUCAGCGAUGACUUCCUUUGUACACUGUAUAUUUCUAAAGCCCUUAGCACAGAAUUGACUCUGAACAGGUGCUAAAUAAAUACUUUGUUCCCAUUUCCCUUUCGACUAUACAUAGUUGUUUACUUGUUUUUCCCAUUAAGUGAUGAGCUUCUUGAGACUUUGUUUAUCUUUAUGUCCCUAAGGCCUUAGAACAGUCCUGGCUCUUAGGAGGAGCUUAAAAAUGCUUUUUUGCUCUUUGAUUUGACUCAUUCCUGUUCAGUACUCCUUACUUUUUUUUUUUUUUCUGUAUGUAUCUGCAGGUGAAAGGACUCUCCUCCAGUUACCUAAUAUAUUGCAGAAUGGUAUGGUUGGCAUUCCCAUAGUCUUUAAUCCAUCAAUUUGGCUACUAUCAAUUCUUACUGUGUACAGUAUGAAAAGCAUAUGGAGUGCUAAAGGAGGACAAGUGCCCCCAGUGUGAGGACUUGCUGAAGCUUCUCUGGGCUGCUCAUCCCCCCUUUGGGGUUCACCUGUCAAGAAGCUGUAGCCUGUGCAGCAGCCACUCCCAGGAAAACCACUGAGGCAGAUGGGCUCAAACGUGCUGACGCUGAGGGGAGGGGUGGGGUGUGUGUGAAGACUUUCCCUGGCAGAGUGGGCAGACCCUAACAGUUUGUGGCAAUGGCCAGGAAGGCUGGUGCUGUGGAGCGCUGUGAGCUUGUCAGGCGGGCAGUCGUCCUGACUUUUACCUUGCCGCUGAUGGACUAAGAAAAGACGACUUUGUGCCACUUAGGCUCACUCAAAUCCAAUUCACAAGCAAGUCGAAAUAUCGCCUGUGAUGUCAUUGGCUCUCUUUGAAAACCAGGCUUCCAGGGACAUUAGUGAGAGGAUUGAGAAUUUCUCUUCUGUGAUGCUCCUGGCCAAAGCCCCGCUCAGUGGUAUUUCCUCCACUGAUGACCAGUGGAAAUUAGUGCCCUAGUUCCAGGGUAGCUUUCACAAAGGUGAGAGACCGGAAGUACAAACAUUCCUUCUGUCACAGCCCUUGGUAGGGUACCCUCUCCCCUACAUCACAUGAGUCUUUGGGGAGAGUGGGCUCAAACUGAUCUCAGCAUUCACCCCACCAAGCUCACUUCCACAUGCAGCACCUCUGAGGGAUGAAUGAGCCUGCAUUUCUGCCUGUUGCUGGACCAGAUUCAGUCGAGUCCCCUGCGACUUCCCUGCUCACCAUCUGGCUUCUGGACAAUCCCUAACCCUUAGACGUUUGCAAAGCCAUAGCCAUCUGCCUGUCUCCUUCUCCUAAAAGCAGGAAAUAGCAGCCACGGCAGAGAAAGCAAGGUCAUGUGCUUCAUGCCUUUUGAAAGAAGAAAAGGACUGAGGCUUUUCACCAAUCUCACAGCAAUUUUUCUUCCUUUUGUAUACCAGCCAAGCCAGGAAUCACUUGCUCGGGCUGGCUAGUGCCUUUUGAAUCCAUCUAGAUUCUCGCUCUACUUGCAGUCAGAAAGGCUCCUCUUCCACCAUGUGGCCAGCAGUCUGGAACCCAUUGCAGAAACUCUGCCCACCAAAGUCUGCAUGAGGAAUGCAUCAAGCAAGCUAGCUAUCCAUGUGAAUAUAAGGACUGGGCUCAUUGGCCCCCUUCCCUAUUAGAAUACCAAAGAAUUGUUUUAUAAGUUACAAUUUUGCUCAUGAUAUAGUCCAAUCCUUAUAAGUUGUUGACUCACUGACUUUUCAUCAACUGACCAGGAGUAUCUUUUAUAUGUCAUACUACUAGGCAUAAUAUUAUCUACUAAAAACAUUGUUUUCUCCCUUUUGGAAAAAGUGGAAAAGCAGAAUUGCUUCACAGGCCCAAGGACCCUGUUGCCCUUGGGAGAAAUUCCAUUUUCUGGGGCCCAGCAAAGAGCCAAUGAGGAAAUAAAGGACAGAAGAGUAAAUUAAAGCACAUAAAGUGUCUUUCGUGUAUUCAGCAAUUAUGUCCUCUUUCUGGUUCUCAAAUCUGAUGAUCUUUAAUAUUUCAGUAAAUCAAAUAUCUAUUAAACACCUACUGUGUGCCAAGUACUGAAUAAGGAGCUGAAUAAAGGUGCUACCCUCAAAAGGA